UGCUUGAAAGCGAAAAUAUUUGCACUAAGUUUCGGCCUUAGCUUUGAGAUUUUAUUCUCUCAAGUAA
RNAcentral lists this transfer RNA (67 nucleotides) under Cadlina umiushi. RNAcentral describes it as "tRNA-Arg". Lineage: Eukaryota; Metazoa; Mollusca; Gastropoda; Nudibranchia; Chromodorididae. The record is from RNAcentral.